Molecule: non-coding RNA, 83 nt
Organism: Salmo salar (Atlantic salmon)
Lineage: Eukaryota; Metazoa; Chordata; Actinopteri; Salmoniformes; Salmonidae
Source: Rfam
CCUUGCGGUGCUGAAGCAGCACAGAAUGGUUUGUGGGUAAUACAGGGAUACAGGCUGUACUGUGCUGUUGCAGUAACGCCUGG